Long non-coding RNA from Ananas comosus (pineapple), 667 nucleotides. RefSeq lists it as uncharacterized. The record is from RefSeq and is a predicted model, not a curated record. The transcript has 2 exons. NCBI's taxonomy places the organism in Eukaryota, Viridiplantae, Streptophyta, Magnoliopsida, Poales, Bromeliaceae.
AGGUGAUGGAUUUAGUUCACAUUGAAGCUAGCAUCCAUGGUUUUCCUCAUAGAUGCUAAACCUAGGUUUUAGAAAGGGUUAUGUUGCUUAAGAAUGGUUUAAAUGGAAACCAUUGAAGCUUAAGAGAAGGUUCAAUCCCAAAUUUGGAGCUCGAAACCAUGAUUUCUCUAUUGUUGCUAAACCUAGGGUUAGAUUUGGGGUUUUUGGAAAUAUAAGGGUUUGAUCUCUUUUGAAGGGUUAGAAACCUAAUUGCUAUGCUUAUAAACGCGUAGGCGAAGACGGUUCGUCGAUCCGACAAGUGGGUGCGAAGAUAUCGCCAUUUGUUGUGCUAAGGGGUUAGAGCUAACCCAACGAAAAUUUAAGCGGCGACAAGACUAGCGCAAGAGUGCGUCUCGGAGUGUUUUCGGCAUCACCCAAGGUACACUGGACAGCGGGCCUUCGGCGAUGGAUCGUGGUAAGGGCAUAGCGCCCUAGCUUUUGGUAGAUAGCCUACCUUACCUACUUGCAUUAGCUCUAUACCCUGUACUUUUGGUUAUGUUUUGAGAGUAGAUGUUGUAUAGGGUGAGGUUUUGGAGAGUUCAUGAUGUAUAUUCAUUUGAGAAAAGAAUGCAAGUUGUAUUAAAUGAUUAAAGUUUAAAAUGUUAUCGAAAGAGGUUAAAUGUUUCAA